RNAcentral lists this long non-coding RNA (4533 nucleotides) under Medicago truncatula (barrel medic). Its description in RNAcentral is "lncRNA gene14087". The record is from RNAcentral. Lineage: Eukaryota; Viridiplantae; Streptophyta; Magnoliopsida; Fabales; Fabaceae.
AUGAACUAUAAACUUUAAACAGUUGGAGAACACACCACAAUAAAAUUUCAAAUAUUCAAGUAUUUAAAUGCUAUUCAUUUCCACAAUCCAAGACCAGAAUUUCUUUCCUCUGAUUCUAGUUCUUUGAAGAAACCUUGUAUACUUGUUAUAGAAAAGGCUAAAGUUACACAACAAAAUACAUUAACAUGACAAAGAGGCAUCAUCUGUAUUGUGCAGGCAACCGGUAACCUGGCAAGACUAAUUUAUCAGCGAACAUUUUGCCAGUCUUUGGCAUGACAUGCCAGUGCAAAGUUAAGUUGAAUUCUUUACCACGCAGAUUGCUUCCCUGGACACGAAAAAUGGCAUAAAUAAGGCUUAAUGAAAUUUAAAGCAAUUCAGAUUAGAUAAAAUAUUCUUGAAGAGUUAAAUACCUGAUCAACGAAACGGUAUUUAUUUGAUGUGUGAAUUGUAAACUUUGCGUGCUCUUUAGUCGGAAUGAUGGCAUCCCAGAGGGAUAUCUGUAAAAUUGCAUAUCAAGAGUUUAAGAAAUAGGAUACAACAUAUACAUGACAGAUGCAUGCAGCAUAAAUACCGUAAACAAACAUUGAAGCUGCCACCUCAACAAUGGAAAUUUGAGAUCCACCAACCAAUCUAUUACCAUGACGUUCUUCUAUCUAUUCUCUCUUUCGAAAAAGGAGCUGGCAAGUUUAAAAUUUAAGGGUCUGUAAACUUUUAAAAACUAUUUUCGAUUUUCAUUUUCUAAAAUUUGUGUUGAAUUUAAAUUGCUGCCACGGAGAUGAAGUGAACAAUUAUGAUGGGAAAAAUAUGGAAGACAAGCUAGGAAGAAUGCAUUUUCAGAAACAAUAGAAACAGUGUUUUGGCAUUCUUCAAAAUUUCUGAAAAUACUAUAUCUACUUUUGAAAACUGUGAGAAAUAUUGGAUCUGUAUUCUAAGAUGUUUAUUAGUUGAAGUGAAAUCGAAAUAAGAAACCUGGACAAUGACCGGGCCCUAUGUGUGUAUUUCAGCAGAAUAUGCAAACUAGCUAAGUAACCCUCAUGUGUGUAUUUCAACUGAUCCAAACUAGCUAACUAACCUGAUUUAGGGGAUGCUUUGGAGUUUCAUAUUCAGCAGCUAAAAAUGCAAAAACCUGCAAGCAUAGAAAAGAAGCAAAACUAAGUCCGUGUACAUCCCCAAAACACUACGAUGGGUGAAACCCAAGUGCGUAUUAAAUUCACGAUACAACAAGAUAUGCAAAAUUAGUUUCCAUACUUCCCAUCCGUACCUGAUAAUUAACUUAUUGCUUUUAUAUACUUUUCAGAAAGGAAAAAAAAAAAAUGUGAAAAUGCAAAUUGAAGUCACGAACCUGUUUUGUGUUCCAUGUAAAAAGGGUUUGUAAAUCUGCUGAUAUAUUAAGUGUCAAGUAAACCUGCAUGAAUAGAAAGGCUCACGCUUCAGAUAGGUAAGCAGUAUGAAUUUUGGUAAAAUAGUUACGGGAAUAUAUAUAGGUAACAAAGCGACAAAGGAGUGAAUCAAAGGGUUAAAAUGCAAGUUACUUCCUAGCCAAAUAGCCUUUGCUAUGAUACCAAAACAUUACUUCAGCUCAGAUUACAAGUCAUUUUGUGCUUACUUAUGCAGAAAUUUUGUUAACUACAGACAUGCUGUCAUGAUUCGAUUCAGACAUAAUGAUUUGGAGGUUUGACAAGACAGUUGGCAGUUUAAACUUCCAGUUAUAUACCUCAAGCCCAGGAUACUAUUAAGCUAAAUAGGCAAUCUGUAUAACUGAUUUCCAAUCACCCAAGUUACUGUCAUACCAGUCCUGAAUUUCUAUUUCUAAGUUGUUUUGACAAGUUCAAAAGCCAAGCCAUAAGUAAUAUAAAAGUGCCUAAGAUUAAUGAGUUCGGGUAUGCUCCAUUUACUCCAUUUAGGGUUUAGAUGCAAGACAUGUGGCAAAAAAAUAUAUAACGGUUGAGAUUUUAAAUUAAAAAACAAAUAUUUGUUUAAUAAAAAUACAUAAUAAUAACAAACAAAUCAUGUUCCCUUCUUCUCUCAUAUCGCAACAACCUUUAUUAUUUUUUAAUUUAAAAUCUCAACUGUUAGAUAUAUUUUUGCCACAUGUCUUGCAUCCAAACCCUAAAUGGAGUAAAUGGAGCCUAGCCUAAAUGGAGCAUACCCGAACUCAAGAUUAAGACGGCAGAAGUGUUAAACCAGAUAAGCUUUUGAGAUGAAACUUUCUCAGACAGUUUUGUUAUCCGUCUGCAAAACCUGAGGUCAAUGGUGCAGUAUAGCUCAGUCUGGAUCAUGAGGACCAAAUCUUGACUUUUAAAGCUUUAUUAGAGACUACGAUGCACAAAAUCUGGUAAGACCAAAGGGACCCUGUAUACCAGAAUUUUGGUCAAUGGAACAAGUAUAACUCAGGUCAGCCCCUUAUUUGUAAUUCAACACUAAAAAGAAAGUCAAUUGAGGGAAUAUUAUAGAAGUCACACCCAUGAAAGGAGUUUGGAUCUUAGAUUUGAUAUACAAAUUUUAUAUGUUAAAAAAAGGAGCCCUUUCUAGAUAUAUUAAGAUCAAACAGACUUUGGAAUCUCAUCUCAUAUACAUACAAGUCUAAAUGGAAGGUUUAGAGAAAAUAAGGAUAAGCAGGCCUUCAGAAAUUAAGCAAGCCUUCAGAAAUCAAACUUAAGGGAAAUACAAACCCUAACCAUUUAGCAGCAGCUAAAGAGCUAUUUUUCUGCAAUUUGCGUCUGCUAAACCGCUGGAUAGCCAGUGUUGUUAGGCACCACAAACGGGACAUUUCCGCUCAGCUAUAGAUUCACUAUUCACAACAAAGCAACCUAUGUGAGGGUUUAUAAUGGAAUUUACCCAUAACCUAUGAUCAGAGAAAUUUCAGAUUUGAACUCAAGUCACAGUAAAUCUGAGCAAAAGAUCAGACCAUAUGUUCAUCGGUGUGUGUUUCUAUUCUAACAGUAGAGAAGGCAAAGAAUGACAUUCCCCCCUAUUCAUUAUAUCCAGAUUUCAUACCCUCAAACACAUACAUUCCUUUCUCCUUUGAAUUCUUUCACAAACACCCAUCCAUCAAGUAGAGUGAGAUAAUUGACUAAACUGAAUUCUUCUCCAUGUAAUCCGUCUCUUCCAUAGGAUUCUUUCAUCAUUAAUGUUUCCUCUCUUUUUCCCCUUCACUAAAUUCCCUUUUCAAUAUAAUUCUAGCACAUCACAAUAUGAAUUGAAUUUCCACCUAUCACUCUCAUAAUUAUGAAACUUAUUACGCUUAUACAAAAGUAUACAAUCAUUUUGGUCCUUAAAUAUGUGAGACCAUGUCACAAUAGUCUCUAAAUUUAUCAAAUUUACAUAAACAUACAUAAAUGCAUCUCUCGGUGAUCAAUUUGAUCCUCACGUGUCUUUUAUUAGUUAGUUUGAUCCUCAAGUAUGUCUUUGGUUGGUCGAUUUUUUGUCCUCAAAUUUGUCUUCGGUUAGUCAAUUUUGUGUCUAAAACUACCAACAACAACCUUAGGGGUAUUUUAAGAGUAAAUCUUGAUUUUGGACCCUAAACGUGUGAGACGGUGUCAAAACUGUCCCAGAAUGCAUUAUAAUUAUAAGACAUCCCGUAGUGUAUCUUUUCUAUGUAAUUUCAAGGACUAAAUUGACUAUUGACUAAGGGCUUGUUUAGGUUGUCUUAUUUGCGCUUAUCUACUGGCAUAAAUACUUGUGAUACUGUUUGGAGAACCUAUGAAAACAUCGUAUAACAUUCAAAAGCUGUUUUCGGGUUACUUUCAUAAGUUCUCUUUUGCUAUAGAAAUAGGUUAUACGUAGGCACUUAUCAUCAUAAGCGCAGAUGCUACAAGCUGCAAAUUAAGGCAUUUAUCCAAACAAAGCCUUAACAAAAAACGUAUUCAACAACCAAACUAGCUAAUUCUGUAAUUUUAGCUUAUCAUUUACACAUUCUAGGAUAAUUUUGUAAUUUUCAUACAUUCAAAGACUAUAUUGACAAUGACCGACUUAUCUCAGGACCAAAAAACCAAAAUAUCUGUUCACUCAAAUAUUUUUUUAACUUCAAUACAUCCAGGCUAUCAACCAACACCGGAUACGACACUGACACAUCAACACCGACAAUAAUUUGAAGGAAAAAAAAAAAAUUGAAUGCAAUCACAUGCUCAGGUGUCGUGUCAGUGUCAGACCAGGAUCAAAAUAAUUGAAAGAUGAAUUACCUCGUCAUUGCCGUUGGGCUGUUUCUGAAACCAGUUAACAUUCAACACCUACACAUCCACACAAACACGCAUAUAAAUUUAAGAACAAGUGAAUUCUCAAUUUAGUCCCUCACAAUUUUCUCUCAGACAUUUUUAUAUCAAGGACAAAUUAGUCUAUUUAUUAUAAUAAAUCAGAAACUAAUUCGUGCUCGGUAUAAAAAUGUCUGAGAAAAUUGCGAGUGAGUGAUAUAGAGAGAGGGAGAGAAGUACCUGGACUUGAACAGAAGGAGAUGGAGAAUUGAGAGUAUCAGUGAAAGAAGCGAUUGCACAGAUGAAACCAAGAAUCGUAACCGCAAAGGUGAACAAAGCGUUC